CAGCUGCAUGGCCCUUGGCCCAACAACCAUCCACUCUAACAAACCCCAUACGUCGAAGGGAGUGAUCAUUGUAGGUGUCAGUGUUUAACAAUCUACAAACAACCUCUUCCUCAAAACUCACUUCAGACUUCCUAAAAAUCAUAGUAAGAGCCAUACCAUAUGGCAAGGGAGCCUUGGAUCUAUUCAAGGCCUCCCUCCUGGCAUCGAUCAUCAAAAAUGGUAGAUUUAAGGGAGUUUUAGAGACUACAUG
RNAcentral lists this long non-coding RNA (250 nucleotides) under Elaeis guineensis (African oil palm). RNAcentral describes it as "long non-coding RNA (EGUI_LNC080098)". Lineage: Eukaryota; Viridiplantae; Streptophyta; Magnoliopsida; Arecales; Arecaceae. The record is from RNAcentral.